ACAGGCUCAAUAGGCGUUAUAUUAAAGUUGUUGCAGUUAAAAGCUCGUAGUUGAACCUUGGGUCUGGCUGGCCGGUCCGCCUCACCGCGAGUACUGGUCCGGCUGGACCUUUCCUUCUGGGGAACCUCAUGGCCUUCACUGGCUGUGGGGGGAACCAGGACUUUUACUGUGAAAAAAUUAGAGUGUUCAAAGCAGGCCUUUGCUCGAAUACAUUAGCAUGGAAUAAUAGAAUAGGACGUGCGGUUCUAUUUUGUUGGUUUCUAGGACCGCCGUAAUGAUUAAUAGGGAUAGUCGGGGGCGUCAGUAUUCAGCUGUCAGAGGUGAAAUUCUUGGAUUUGCUGAAGACUAACUACUGCGAAAGCAUUCGCCAAGGAUGUUUUCAUUAAUCAGGGAACGAAAGUUAGGGGAUCGAAGACGAUCAGAUACCGUCGUAGUCUUAACCAUAAACUAUGCCGACUAGGGAUCGGA
RNAcentral lists this ribosomal RNA (468 nucleotides) under Aspergillus terreus. Its description in RNAcentral is "SSU rRNA". It matches the Rfam family "Eukaryotic small subunit ribosomal RNA", at positions 584 to 1057 of the family's 1831-position model. Lineage: Eukaryota; Fungi; Ascomycota; Eurotiomycetes; Eurotiales; Aspergillaceae. The record is from RNAcentral.